GUGAGUCCCCCCCACUCUCCUGUGAGUCCCCCCCACUCUCCUGUGAGUCCCCCCACUCACCUGUGAGUCCCCCCACUCACCUGUAAGUCCCCCCCACUCUCCUGUAAGUCCCCCUUACUCUCUUGUAAGUCCCCCCACUCUCCUGUAAGCCCCCCCCCCCCCCAAUCUCCUCCUGUAUGUACAAAAACAGUGGACUUAAGGGCUUGAUGUGUUUUCAAGCCUCGUGAAUUCAGGUUUCUAGUCUCCCAGUGCCCUUAAUGGAUGUUAGGGACGCAUAAGUGUGGUUUCCUUUAGAGAGAAAUGUUAGCUUUAUAGUGUUUCUAUAUUCCUUUGCACUAAAAAGAGCGAUGCAUUUGUUCUACGACACUCUAGUGCCAGGUUGCCUACAAUAACUCAACUCGUUUCUAAACUCUGGAAGUUGACAAGUAACUGCCAAGGUCAUUGUUAGAGGUUAUGCAGAUGUCUGAAACACUCCGACGAUCCCUGGGCCGAGGGUAGCCGAGGCUAUUGAAGCUACAUGGUACAGUUUCUCACGAAAUGAACUCUGUAUGGAAAUUGUACCUUGUCUAACCAAGCUGUGGUGGCGUCUGAGUUAGUUAAGUGAACUCUCUUGGUUUCAUUUUGUGAAGCCCUGUCCUGUUAUAUGACAUGCUGUAGGACUGGCCCCCUGUUCCCCAGGAAUCGUGGAUCUCAUGAUAUGCCACAGUCAUGGAUGGACAGAAGUCUAAACAAAGGAAACCUUAGUCCAGAAUUCGGCAGAUUCCAGUUCUAUCGAUUAUCUGUAGCACCGCUGUCUGUUCUUGUGACUGUGGGAACACCCAGAUCCAAGGCUGGGAGGAAGCGUCCAGUUCCCAUCUGGAUCCACAUGCCUGCAGAGGGCAUUAGCGUUGAAGUCCAGCUACAGCCCAUGCCCUCUGACUUUUCAGACCUCUCCUGAGCAGGAGACUUGGCUGGUCUGGAUUGGUCUGUGCCCUGCUACUUGUGAAAGCCAGCCUGUUGUUCUGUGCGUGUGUGCUUGCCUCUUACACACUGAAUUCUGCAGUUUUUCACACCAUUUGUCUUGAAAAAAAAACCCUUCUCAUCAACUCUUUCCCUUUCAGUUCACUGUGAGCUUAGAAGUCAGUGAGUGGUUUUGAAGCCUUGGCAAUGAGUGAAGGACCAUGGCUGAGAACUUGUGCAUGUCUUGUGAUCGGAGGAGAAUCUCCCACCUCACCCCACAGAGCUAUCCUGCAGAGUUUGGGUAGCCUUUUUCCUACAAUCUGAAAAAAUUGUGCAUAUAUCUGUAUACUCGAUUAGGUCUUCCUGUGUAGAUAGGGUCUAAAAAUUGACAGUGGGUCUUAGGGCUCUUCCGUCCUGUGUUGCCUGGGACUCUGAGGACAGUGACGGUGACAUGAGUCUGGACAGACAGGAAACUUCCACACAGUGUUUUCUCUGUGGAGAGGAUGGAGAGGAAUCUACUUGGUUCUGUAAAUAUCAGAAUUUAGCUGGAAGUAUUUGCUAGCGGUGAGGUGUGUACCCAAGCAGUGGGGUCUCUUUAGAAGUGGGGGAAUAUUCUGUUGGCAUAUACAGAAGUUUAAUGUAGAAAUUUGAUCAGGUGUUUUAAAAAAGAAUUCUACCUGCCCCUCACUUUAAGUCUCUCUUAGGAGUUUUAUAUGUGAUUUAAAGAAAUGCUUUGUUGCUUUUGUGUUUAGGGUGAGCGAGUUCUCUGUGAGUCACCUUGUCAGUGGUGGCCGAGUGGACAUUAGCUGUGUAAAUAGCUUCUCAUGAGACAUUUAUAUGGAUAGUGUGUGGUGACAUUUCCUUCCCAUUAUCAAUAGAGACUCUUUAUGAACUCCAUUUCUCUGAAGUUACCAAAAAAAAAAAAAAGCCCUGGCUUAUGGUCCCAUGUGACCUUGUAUCCGUUAAGCCCAAAAUAUGAGUGCCUUUAGCAAGUGUUAGCAUUUCACAGAGGAUAGAAAUGACAGAAUUUACUGCCGUUAACCACAGUUCAUAAAAUAGCUUGAAAUAGUAAAGGUCCUUGUGAAUUCUGUUCCAUGUCUCCCCCGCCCCCCUUUGUUAGUGCAAUCUCAAUUUGCUAUUGUGGUAAAACUGCACUCUGAGUAGGAACCUGGUUGCCGUGGCUGGCUGUAGUCCCCUGGGCAGGCUAUGUCCUGGUUGCCGUGGCUGGCUGUAUUCCCCUGGGCGGGCUAUGUCCUGGUUGCCGAGGCUAGCAGUUCACCUGGGUGGGCUAUAUCCUGGUUGCCGAGGCUAGCAGUUCACCUGGAUGGGCUGUGUUUGAUGAUGUAGACGACUCAGCUUGAGAUGCUGACAUUGGAAUAGACCUCCUACGCUGAUCGUCCCAGCUUGGUUCUUCUGUAGAGAGGAGAGAGUUAUGUAUCUGAACAUGAAGUGCAUUGAGGGACUGGCAGGGACUGGCAGGGACAGUGGCUCGGGUCACUCUGUACAUCCACAGGGUCACCUAGUGCGGAUGGAGGGCCUUUCCAAGCAAGCUUGAGGCCUUUGAAAACGAUUUCCUUAGUUCGAUUAACUGACAACUUUAAAUUUCCUGAGUCUUUACAGCCUUUUGAACGUAUGAUAAAACUAAUUUUGGUGUAGAAAUAGUAACGCCCCAACAUUUUAUCAUGAAGAAUUUCGGAUAUUUAUCAGAGUGAAAACAUUUGGAGCAUAGCUAACUCUGUCUUUGUCAACAUUUUCCCACUGUAUUUCUAUGUAUCUCCCCGUGAGCUGUAUUCCACUGUAUUCAUCCGUCUGCCCAUCAGGACAGACGGCUCAGUAUCAAUUUCCGACAGUGCCCAUACUGUGGGUAUCAUGCACUGGGAUUUAACAUUUAAAUGUUAGUACCUUAGGAAAGCUGCGUGUGUAGGUCCUAACUUGAGCCGUGAACAGUCAUGAUUCUCUCCUGUGGACGUCAGUCUUCCUUGUUUCUGUUCUUGGGUCUCCAACAAGUCUGCACCAGGUUUCCUGGUCCUCAAAGAUUACUUUCCUGACGGGACUUGUUGUGACCUCUUUGGGUACUGUGACCACUCGCCUUCUAUCAUGUACAUAGCAGAAUUAGCACUAAGACGGCAGUCCUGUCCACCGAGGGGUGGGUGAGCCUUGGAGCAGUCUGUAUUCAGUCAUGCCGAGGAAAACUGCCCUCUGCCUCCAUCCUGUGCCCACCUGCUGUGGACAGCUCUGCAGAGCUGGAAGGGGUUUGCUCCAGGUCAGGGAGAUGGGAUGGGCAGAUGAAUCAGAGCCCAAACUUGAAUGUUCUGGAUUUUAAUCUUAGGAUCCAAAGUAAUUGAACACUUCUUUGGGGCUCUUAGAAGGACUGUAUUUAUUUUUACGAAUUAGAAUUUUAUUUUUUGACAUUUCAUAAUUCUUUUGACAUAAAGAUGUCCUUAUGGCCAUUUGUUGUUGUUUUGUUUUGUAAAGUUCCAUCUAGCCCAGGCUAGUCUUAAUUCUACCUACUAUGUAGCCGAGGAUGACCUUGAACUCACAAUCCUCCUGCCUCCACCUCUUGGUGCUGGGAUUACAGGCAUGUGCCACCAUGCCAGGCUAUAAUUGUAGUUUUUAAGUCCACAGCAGUUGCUAACAUCUCACUGCACAUUGAACACCAACUAGUGCAGGGUCUGUCUGAUUCUUUGUCUUCAAAUGGCUUUCAUGAUCACUCUGUCAAUGUAAGUGCUCAAGUAACCCCUCCCUAGUGAAAAUGGUGUUCUUUAUCACUGACCACGUGUGCACUCUCUACCUGAUGCUUUUUUUCUUUUCUUUUUAGAGAAAAUGACUCCAUAAGUCAGGAUGAGUGAUACUGUCGUAGGGCAAAGCCCGUGCUUGGGAACAAACCUCUUGGAAGUGGCUGGUCAUUGUUCUGCCCUCUUUUAGUCUCUGAAUACCUGCCAAAGGUUCUGUAAGCCAGUGCGUCAUUUUGUUAGAGUCUCACGUGGACUCUGCUCACCUGUGGUGCCCCCGUCACUGCAGUGACCUGGAGCGGGUUAGGUGUGUUGUCUUUGAAAUGCCUUACUGGGCAUGCCAGGCUCUGCUGUUGAGCAUCCCAGCUGUCCGCUGAGACGCACACGUCCCCUCGGGGAUGAGUGCUCUCGGUCCGGAAGCAAAGCUGAUCUUACUUUCAGUAUCAAGGGCGCAUUUUAAUGCAGUGAUUGUCUUACAUUAGAAAUGACGUAGAAAGCCAAGAGACAGUUUGGAACCCUUCAUGUGAUCACAUGGCGAACUGUAAAUGUGCUUUUGCUGUUUCAGUAGGAAGAAUGCAGCUAAGAAGUGCCAGUCCAAACCAGGAGAGUGGGGCUGUGCCGUGGAAUGCUCUCCACUUGUCUUUGGGGGUUGGAAAUCUGAGCAAGCCAUCGGGCAGUGGGCCAGUCUCUGUUUGGAGAUCUCCUCUUCAGGGACUACAGAGCUGACUGACAUGUCACGGGAUUCAAACCAAUCAACUGUGAAUUGUGAAAUUGAAAUUGCUGUUUUAGUUUUAUUUUCUUCUGCCUAUUAACUAUAGAAGUCUGAAUGUUAUUUAAGCUUCUGCUUAUGUUGAUGGCUCAUCUUGGCUGUAUAUUCUCAUGUAUGUACUGAUUUCUGAUAAAGGCUUGAUGAUAUUGUAACAGGCUUUUUGUGUUCAGUUUAAUAAAACAGUUUUUGAGUCUUGUCUCAAAA
This is a long non-coding RNA of Peromyscus californicus insignis, 4644 nucleotides long. RefSeq lists it as uncharacterized. The record is from RefSeq and is a predicted model, not a curated record. The transcript is spliced from 2 exons. Lineage: Eukaryota; Metazoa; Chordata; Mammalia; Rodentia; Cricetidae.